AGUGGCGUACGGGAGAGUAACACGUAAGUAAUCUACCUUCGGGUGGGGAAUAACUUAGGGAAACUUAAGCUAAUACCGCAUAACGCAGCGGCUCCUAAUGGAGACAGUUGUUAAAGGAUUUAUUCGCCUGGAGAGGAGCUUGCGGCAGAUUAGCUAGUUGGUAAGGUAACGGCUUACCAAGGCAACGAUCUGUAGCCGGUCUAAGAGGACGGUCGGUCUCACUGACACUGAAUAACGGGUCAGGCUCCUACGGGAGGCAGCAGUCGGGAAUUUUGCGCAAUGGGGGAAACCCUGACGCAGCAACGCCGCGUGAAGGAUGAAGUCUCUAGGGAUGUAAACUUCGAAAGUAUAGGAAGAAUCAAUGACGGUACUAUACAUAAGCUCCGGCUAACUACGUGCCAGCAGCCGCGGUAAUACGUAGGGGGCAAGCGU
Molecule: ribosomal RNA, 432 nt
Filed under: uncultured bacterium
Lineage: Bacteria
Description: bacterial SSU rRNA
Rfam family: Bacterial small subunit ribosomal RNA
Source: RNAcentral